This 2927-nucleotide long non-coding RNA is filed under the name Amborella trichopoda. RNAcentral describes it as "long non-coding RNA (ATRI_LNC000272)". Lineage: Eukaryota; Viridiplantae; Streptophyta; Magnoliopsida; Amborellales; Amborellaceae. The record is from RNAcentral.
AUGCCCACCAAGACUGUUACGUGCCCUAACCUCAACCAAGCAAAUAACCAUCACAAUAACCACAAAAUACAAGUGAUUCACUUAAGACCACCAUUUUCUCUCUCCAAUUUCUUUUUAAAUUGGGUCACAACGCGGCAAAUGUGAAUUUCGAUAAGUAGUCAUUUAUCUACCACUGAAUUGGAAAAUAAACUUAUAAAUGAAUUUUUUUGGCUAGUUUGAGUGUAUGUCUUAUCGUUAUAAUUAUUAGAUUAUUUUUUUAAAAUUAUUUGAAAUGAGCUACACAAAUUUUAGUCAUCGGUAUCUCUACUUUACUGGCUCAAUACUCUAUUUUUUUUUUAUGUAAAAAUCAACCUCCCUAUCUAUCUAGGUUAACGUAUGUUUCUCUCUCUAAAUUUUGAGGUUUCACACCGGCGGGGAAAAAGUUGAGCCGCAGCGUGAGUGACUCGUGAGAAGGGAGAAGUAAAUGAUGCCUGACAAGUCACGGGACUGUGGCAUGUGGCCGUAAGCUGAGCCUAAGAUGUGAAGAGAGAAUAAACAGAGAAGAGAGAGAAAGAAAGAUGUGAGGAGCGAGAAACAGAAAGGCGAUGACGAAACUGAACCAAAGAUGUGAAGAGAGAAAAACAGAGAAAAGAUGAGGAGAGAGAAAGAAAGAUGUGAGGAGGGAAAAAGAGAGAGAUGAGGGAAGGGAAAAAGAGAGAGGAGAUGAGGAGAGAGAAAGAGGUGAAGAGAGAGAAAGACGCGAUAGAAAAAAGUACGGAUUUUGAGGUGCAGUGUGGACCCUCCGUGUGCGUCACCCACGUACCUCACUGCUGCAAUCUUACGCCGCUUAAAUGAGCCCCUCGCGCAUUUUCUCCCUUCUGAACGACCUUUACUACACAACAAAACAAAAAACACGCACAACCAUUAACACAUCGCUGAAGCCCACUAGGCGGCUAAUCAACGUGCAACCCUAAUUAAUAUGGUCAUCAAUGCUAUAAAAGGAAAGUCAUCAAGACGUUAAUGACGCAAACGUCGAUCAAAGUCGUCGAGGCAGGCUUUCCCUCUAGAAACUCGCUUUACAGUAGCCUCUUUUAAGUUUCUCUCUCUGUGCAUUUUUCUCAAGUACUUUGGCAAGGGGAACCGGAACCGGAACGGGGCGAUAGUUUGGAGGCGGUUUAACCGGCCUAAUCAAUAAACUAACCAAUUCAACCGUUUUAAUCACACAAAUCUCUAAAGGUCAAAAGAGUAUUGAAAAAAUAAAAAUAUAUAGAAAAAUAUAUUCUAAAAUAUAAAAAGCAUGCAAAAGAAUAUUAAAACAAAGAGAAAUGACCCCUCUCACACCUAUGUAUAUAGAAUCCUCAAAAGAUUACCAUUAAAAUUAACAUAAAUAUCUAGAAAAGUCAAAUUUUAUACCUACGUGAUAAUUUUUUUUGAGAUCCGUAUCAACUUUAAUGGUGAUCUUUUGGAAUCCUAAACACAUGAGUAGAAGAGGGUCAUAUAAGAUGAUUACUCUAAAACAAAACACAUUUAAAUAAAGUUGAAAAUUAAUGAAGAAAUAAAUUUUAACGAAUCACCCAUAACUAUUAUUGACCAAAACAAUUUAUAAUCUUUAGCGUCAUAUAAAGAUUACUUAAAAAAUAUAUUACAAAUCAAAUUCUUUAUUUUUGAAUAUAUAUAUAUAUAUAUAUAUAUAUUAUUUUUUAUUUAUUUAUUUUAAAAAUUUCAAUCAAUCACCAAAACCUCUCAAAAUCGGAAUUGGCCGGUUCUGAUCUAUUAGCAAUUAGAUUGCCUUGUUCUUCUAACAAUAACUUGAGCCAUGGCAAGAGACGAGAAAUAAAGUGUCAAAGACGAUAGGGAGCCACUAUGGUUAAGUAUGUUCCUGCUCAACAUUACCAUCAUUUUAUUUUAUUUUUUAAUUCAUUGGGCCGCACUCCAUGAAUUCUAAUUCUCUAUUAUGCUCUAUUAAAAAUUAUAGGAAAAAGUUUAUAUAGAGCCUAAGAUAUAAACAAUCAAAUUAGAGACUAUCUCAAAAUUUUCACUAAAAGAGGUUGUUUUGAUGCCCAAAUAUCAUCAAUUUGAUCAUCUCGACAUUAAGAUACAUGGACAUGAGUAAAAAUUGGAUUUUAAGUUUCGAAAAUAGUGCAUCUUGUAACGUUUUUUUGGACCGUCAAUUUUUAAUCUGUUCAAGUUUUCAUAGAUCUGUUCCGCAUACAUUAUUUUUUAAGCUUUAAAUUUUGUAAUUAAAGAUAAAAAUACAUUUUAAGGCUAUCACAAAAAUUUCUAAUAUAAAAACUAUAUUUCUUGUACUAUCUGAAGGUGGGCUCUAAUUGGAUUGUCUAGAGCCUCGGUUCUAUACAAACCACACCCAAAACUAUACCUUCAUGCUAUAAAUUCUCGUAUCAUAUCUUUCGGUAAUGAGGGGGACAAAGACUGGGUCAAAGGAAAUAAUGAAGCCGCGGCAUCAGGUUUCAGUGCUACGGCUAGGUGUUAAGGUUACAGCAAGUGAGACAGAGUUUGAGAGAGAGAAAGGAGAGGAGACAGGGGUAGAGAGAGAAACUGGAGGUAGGAUCAGAGAGAGAGAAAGACAGGUUUUAAAGAGAGAAACUAAGAUAGGUUGGGAGAGAGGGUUUUAGAGAGAGAAAUUGAGAGAGCGCGUUUCAGACAGAGAAAUUGGGACAGAGAGGGGGUUAGGUUUGAGAGAGAAAUUGUAUAGAGAGAGAGAGGGUGGGGUCAGGAGAAUGGGGAUACACAGUAUGUUGGUUUUUGUAGCAGAAGCACUAUCUUUUCUCGAGUGCUUGAUUGACAUUGAGUGCAGAAGGAGAGAGAACGCGUAUGGGUUAUGGAAGGGAAGAUAGAGAGAGUUAGAAAGGAAGGGGGGCCCUCGGUUAGUGGUAGAGACUGACAGGUGAGAGAGAAGAUGGGUACUCCAUACCUGGGGACCGGGGAGC